UUUUUUUUUUUUUGGAACCAAAAAGCUGGUAUAACACUAUCUUACCCACAGCUUUUUUUUAAUUCCCUUUGGUAUUACAUAAAAUAAUAUAUAGGAAAAGUGAAAAGUGCCUCAUAUAGUAUCUGAUACGUACAGGGUGCCCAGCAAAUUGUAUGUUAAGUUUAAAUUGUGACACAGGUAUUAGAACUCUAUACAAACACUCCCCAAAAUUUCUGUAAUGACAGAAAUAUUUUAUGUCUGUGCUGUCUACUGCUGUAGCCAUUAGCAAUAUGUAGCUAUUGACACUUUAAAUGUGGCUAGUGCAACAGCAGAAUUGAAUUAUUAAUUUUAUAUCAUUUUAAUUAAUUUAAAUUUAAGGAGCUACAUGUGGCAAAUGGCUAGCAUAUUGGACAACAGAUUUAUUUUAUAUAAAAUUCACCACAUAAUUAAAACAUUUUAAUCUAAAAAUAUAAAAACAAAGUUAACUCAUUUCCAAAUUUUGAUGGCCCCUUAAAAUAACAUACAUUAUAGUAAUUAGUAUUCUAUUUACCACUAUGCAUUUUAAAAUCUCUUGGAUAGAAAUAAAACAUAAUUUCAUGACAAUAAUUUUGAUUUUGACAUGUUUGGAUACAUGUUACAAAAUAAAUGAAUGAUAUAAUUAAUUUCAAAAAAGAAAAUUACAUAGCAGGAUAUAUAAUGUGAUAUCAUUUGUUUUGGAAAGAUAUACAUCAAAAUUUUAACACUAUCACAGAAAUGUAGGAUUACAUGUAAUUUGUGUUAUGCUCUGAUGAAUGUUUUAUAUUGCUUGAAUAUUUUAAAAUAAUCAGGUGUUAAUUUUAUAAUUCGAGUUAUUUUGCUUAUGUUACAAAAAUUUUAAAACGCAUUAACCAAAAAGAUUCUGGAAAAUAAGAAUAAGCCCAAUUCACAGGAAUACCACCUCCAUUUAUGUCUCCAUUUAAGGUAUUUCAUUUUGUCUUUCUCUUAUGAGUAGAUAAUCAUGCCAUCUCAAUAUAAAGUUAAAAAUAAAGGCAUUAAAGCAACUAUCUGAGAUCCAUUCACUACCUUUACCAACACUGUGCUACUGGGUGAACACAAAGAGGGCAAGUGACCCAGUCUAAUCUACUUGUCAGCAUGAUAAUUAGACCUCUUGGUAAGUGAUAAAAUGAUAUUCGCUAGGAAGAAGAUCCUUAACUAUAGAAUGUUCUUCACAGGAUGUGUCUGGUUAUGUACUGCUCAAAGAAAUUAAAUCCAAUAUAUGAAGUAAUGAGGUAUGCUUCAUAUAAAAUGGCAGGGACAUUGAAAGGAAACCCUUGACUAAUUCAUCAACAAAAUAGCCCUUCCCUAACAUGACUCAUUGGCAAAAGCUAAUUGAAUUUCCAGGUUUUCCUAGGCACUGUCCAUGGUGCUGGUACUUCAGAAGUCAAGACACAUUUGCUGUCCUCAAACUGCUGAUAAUCUAAAAGGAUUCAGAUAAAUAAAUAAUACCAUGUUGCCAGUGCUAAAAUAUAAACACAGGUUCUAUGUCAGUUCGUAUAAGAGGUAGAUACCUAGCCUGAAAAAAUUAGGGAAGCUUUCCUUAAAGAGGUAAUAUCUUAGAGGAAAUGUUGAAGUUAGCUUGGCAAAUGCCCAUUGAGUGUUCUAGGAGCUCUGAAAAGAUGGAUAGUAGAAAGGCAUAGAUCUGUGACAAAGCAUGUCAUAUGGAGAAAGUAAAAGCAAGCCAGGACACUUAUACCUUGUUCAUAAAAAGGAGAUCAAUAAUGGACCAUGAUGCAGGAAAAGUAGAAAAGGGAAUUCUGGAUCUUUUAUGUAACUUCGGCAAUUUACAAACUUCACUGAAAACAAAGGGGAGUCACUUAAGCAAGAGAGUGACACAAAUAUAUUAUAAUUUUAGAAUAGUUAUUGAUAGGAAAUUGACUAGAGUAAUUACGGCAGGAAGUUAGAAGGAUUUCGUAGUGAUCAAAGAGAGAAAUAUUGGGAAUCUGAAAUAAGGCAGAGGCAGUGAGGGGGGAGAGAUGAGAGUUAUUUUGAAUGAUUUAGGAGGGUUAAUCUAUAAAAUUAGAUAGAUUAAAUGUGGGAAGAAAAAGGGAAGUGAAGAGGAUGACUUGGGAUUGUGAUUUGGGCAACAAGUUUACCAAAUCAAAACCAGGAUAGAUUCACCAAAUGUAUGACCCAAUGGAAAAAGUAAUUUAAGGAAAGAUAAUGAGUUAAUUCAGUUUGGUUUUUGAAUUUGAGGUGUCUGAGUUAUAAAGGCAGAGAUAUUUAGUAAGUACUUGAAUAUGACAUGUGGAGUACAGAGACCUAAGCUAACGACAUAACCUCAGGUACAAGUUGAGUUCCCUAGGAGGGUUAAACAUUGAUUUCAUAGGGAUAGAGGGCAAAAUGAGAUGGGGCUGGGUCUAUGAAUCAAUAUUCAGGAGACACAAGCAUCAGGAAGGAGCAGAAGAGAAGGUGCCUACAUAGGAAACGAGGAGGCAGGAGCUAGAGAGAUGGAACACAAAUGAAGCACUAAGACAGACAGAAAGGGAGAAGAGAAAGGAAUGGUCCUUAGUGCCAAAUAAUCCAGAGAUGUCAAGUUUUUUAAAAUGUCCAAUAUUUUUAUAAACAAGGAUAUCAUUGACAACUUUGGCAAGAGCAGGUUCAUUGAUAACAGAAAGUGAAAUUCAGGAGGAGUUUUACUAUAAACUAUCUCAAGGAGACAAGAGUAGGUUUCCUACUACAGUCUUCUGAUUAUUAUCAAAAUAAUUAGGAUUCGCUGUCCUACCUACAGAGUGUUAAACAUUGUCAAGAAAGUGGUGGAUUCUCACUAAUCUUUGUUCUCUGUCUUUAAGGAGAAGAGAAUACUAACUCCAUUCUCUCUGGUCUCAGAUUUAUAGUAAGAAGAGCGUAGUUGAAAUCUUGGUCCCACCAUUUUUAGCUUUGUGACCUUGAGUGCAUUUCUUAAUUAUUUGUUACUUAAAGGGAGGUAGGUAGACCACCUGCACAGCACCACCUGGAAGCUUGUAUAUUCCCAGGACUUACCAACAGUCUGCUGAACCAGAAUCUGUAUUUCAAGAUUUUCUGAUUCUCAAGCAUAUGAAGUUUGAAGAGCAUUGACUUAAUAAAUUAUAAUUUCCCCAACUAAAAUGUAUGGUGUAAUACUGACCAAAUAGACUUUUGCUAAGACCAAUUAAUAAAGUGAAAGUAAUACCAAUUUGUAUUAUCCCCUGAACAUAUUGUUCGAUGCUAUAGAGAUAAGAGAAAAUAAAAAGGGGAAAACCAUUUAUUUCUUGUACCAUUCCUUCUUAAAUCUUGGCCAUUUACCAGGAAGAACUGUCUUAACUUGACCAUGCACUAUUUCUGCUUUUGAGAUAUAUCAAUAUUCCCCAAGUAACCAGAACCAAUUUGGACAGGUUCUGUGGGAAGAUAUGUAGACCAUUUGAGAUACCCCAGGGUGAAAUCUGUUAUGUGACUAAACCUAUGAAAACAGCUGGAUCAACAAUUACUGAUUAGUUAUAUACAAUUGCUCCUUGCUGCCUUGUGACUGAUACUUCUGAGAAAAUAUCCACACAUUCAUACACUUUUAUGUGCAUGCCUGCCCUUUUGGGUUAGAGCUCAUUAUUCAUCCAUUUAACAAAUCUAAUUUCUGAGCUGCCGCUAUGUAUCUGGCAUUGUGCCCUGGUAGAAGUACAACAGUGUGGCCCCUUGAUGUGGUCCUCACCGUCGUGGUGCCUACAGUCUUAUUUUUCCCCAGAAGUUGGCUUCACUCCUGGCCCCAGUGUCUUGGACAUCCAAUUUUAGUUUAUUAUUUAGUACUGUCCCCCACUUUCAUUCCCAUGCUUUAAAAUGACAAGUUUGUCUUACUGCUGAGGCCUGUAAGUGAACCUCACUAUCCAGUAUAAUUCUGCACACUCCAAAUGAAAUCUUACAAUUGAUCCAACACUUCCAAGACCAAUCCAGUAUUCAUUCAUUGAUUCGCCAUUUGUUCAAUAAAUAUAUGCUGAACACACUACUUGCUAAGCACUGUUCUAAGCGGGCAGCACUGUUCAGAGCCCUGCCCAACUGUUCAUGGCCCAGACUGAUUUGCAAAACUCAGAAAUGAAUAAUGAUGAUUUCUACUUAACAAUCCCACCACUAUGAUUUUGUUAAAGUUCUCUGAGGAGUGCUACACCUAAGGUUACCCUAAUCAGAGUAGCAUGAAUAAGGUUUUAACUCAGUAAUUUAAUAUGGACUUUUUAUUUAAAAUGUUCUAGGAAUUCUCCUAUUUUGUGUACAUCAGUAUUUCCAAGCUCUUACUAUUUUCCCCUUUCUUUUUUAUUUUAUUGUUAUAAUAUUUUUAUUUUUCUAUUAUAGUUGAGUUACAAUGUUCUGUCAAUUUCUGCUAUACAGCAAAAUGACCCAGUCACACACAUGCACGUAUAUGCUUUUUUUCUCACAUAUCUUCCAUUGUGUUUCAUCACAAGUAACUAGAUAUAGUUCCCUGUGCUACAUAGCAGAUCUCAUUGCUUAUCCACUCCAAAGGCAAUAGUUUGCAUCUACUAACCCCAAACUCCCAGUCCAUCCCACUCCCUCCCCCUCUGCAACCACAAGUCUGUUCUCCAAGUCCAUAAGUUUCUUUUCUGUAGAAACGUUAUUUGUGCCUUAUAUUAGAUUCCAGAUAUGUGAUAUCAUAUGGUAUUUGUUUUUCUCUUUCUGACUUCACUUAGUAUGAGAGUCUCUAGUUCCAUCCAUGUUGCUGAGAAUGGCAUUAUUUUGGUUUUUUAUGGCUGAGUAGUAUUCCAUUGUGUAUAUACACCACAUCUUCUUAAUCCAUUUAUUUGUUGAUAGACAUUUAGUUUGUUUUCGUGUCUUGGCAAUUGUGAAUAGAGUGCAAUGAACACAGGGGUGCAUGUAUCUUUUUCAAUGAAAGUUUUGUCAGGAUAUAUGCCCAAGAGUGGGAUUGCUGGGAUAUAGAACUACCAUACUUUCCCCUUUCUACCUCAAUUUCUUCAUGAAAUAGUAUCCCACUUAGGUGGAUCUGAAUAUUCACCCAUCCUUUGAGCCAAAAGUUUAAGUUUAUCUCAUACUUAAGUAAUUGGUGCAAUAUACCUCUGUGGAACAGAGAUCUAAAAUUCCUUAAUGUCCUUGUUCUCAUUAAUUGCUCUAAUAAAUGAGGAGAGACCAACUGGCUUAAGUUCAAAUAUCAUUUAUCUUAUUCUUCAUUGCUUUAUGAAAAAAAAAUUUCUGCUAAGAGAGAGUUUAAACUCUGCUGAGGUAACAUGGAAGGUAAGACAGAAGCAUGAAAGAUGCAGAGUAAUGUGAUCAUCACAGGCUCAAAUGGGAGAGAAAAAGGGAAGAAAGGUGGUUGGAAAAUACUGAUAGAAGUGCACUGGAAAGAGAAAGCAGCUUCUGAUUAUUGCUCAUCAAAUCCAAAGAAGGGCAGGUAAUUUUUUCAUGUGAAAUAGAAAAUUAGAAGAGAGCUUUAGAAUAUUAGAAUAUUGGAUUUUUUUAAAUGUUGCAACAUGUCAAGUGGUUUAAAUUCUUUUAUCUUCAAAACAUGUCGUAAAAUUAGGAGAAAGAAUUUAAGAGAAUAUUCCACAGUGUUAUCUACAUAACUAACCUGGGGAGAUGGGAUUGCUAGGUAUUUUUUCUUUCCUUUUAAUAGUUGUCUGUAUUGUCCUCAGUGUAUAUGUUCCGUUCUAGUAAGAAAAAAAAAUUAAUACUCAUUUAAAAAUGAAAAGCUCCCUUCUCACUGUCUUCAGAAAUAAUCACUCUCCAGUUUUGAGUAGGUCUAAGUUUACCAAAACAGGAAAGUUUUAUAGUUUCAAGUGACAUUGUAACUAAGAUCAUAGCUUUCAUUCCAAUUUUUCUCCUGAAAAAGAACUGCAGUGAUGUUUGAGUUGGACAGUAUAGUUGUUAGCUAUUCCCAAAGUCUGGAAACCUCGUAGUCCCCUUCUCUAUUUUAUUUUAUUUUUAAUCGUUGCACCUGCAGCAUAUGGAAGUUCCUAGAACAGGGAUUGAGUCAAAGCUACAGCUGGGACCUACACCACAGUUGCAGCAAUGCUGGAUCCUUUAAUUCUUUGUGCCAGGCCAGGGAUCAAACCUGCACAUCCAGAGGGACCAAGCUGCUGCAGUCCAAUUCUUUUUUUUUUUUUUUUCAGGGCUGAACCUGCAGCUUAUGGAAGUGCCCAGGCUAAGGGUUGAAUCAGAGAAUCAGAGCUGCUGCUACUGGCCUACACCACAGCCACAGCAAUGCCAGAUCCUUAACCCAAUGAGUACAGUCAGGGAUUGAACCCACGUCCUC
RNAcentral lists this long non-coding RNA (6238 nucleotides) under Sus scrofa (pig). Its description in RNAcentral is "lncRNA (ENSSSCG00055018030.1)". Lineage: Eukaryota; Metazoa; Chordata; Mammalia; Artiodactyla; Suidae. The record is from RNAcentral.